This 449-nucleotide ribosomal RNA is filed under the name uncultured bacterium. RNAcentral's name for it is "partial 16S ribosomal RNA". It matches the Rfam family "Bacterial small subunit ribosomal RNA", at positions 29 to 523 of the family's 1533-position model. The record is from RNAcentral.
AACGAACGCUGGCGGCAGGCCUAACACAUGCAAGUCGGACGGGAUCUUCGGAUCUAGUGGCGGACGGGUUAGUAACGCGUGGGAACGUGCCCUUUGGUUCGGAAUAGCCCCGGGAAACUGGGAGUAAUACCGGAUAAGCCCUACGGGGGAAAGAUUUAUCGCCAAAGGAUCGGCCCGCGUUGGAUUAGGUAGUUGGUGAGGUAAUGGCUCACCAAGCCGACGAUCCAUAGCUGGUUUGAGAGGAUGAUCAGCCACACUGGGACUGAGACACGGCCCAGACGCCUACGGGAGGCAGCAGUGGGGAAUCUUAGACAAUGGGGGAAACCCUGAUCUAGCCAUGCCGCGUGAUCGAUGAAGGCCUUAGGGUUGUAAAGAUCUUUCAGUGGGGAAGAUAAUGACUGUACCCACAGAAGAAGCCCCGGCUAACUCCGUGCCAGCCGCCGCCGUAA